UCCGGUCCGGGGUCCGAGCC
This 20-nucleotide microRNA is filed under the name Ornithorhynchus anatinus (platypus). RNAcentral's name for it is "oan-miR-1418-3p". The record is from miRBase by way of RNAcentral. Lineage: Eukaryota; Metazoa; Chordata; Mammalia; Monotremata; Ornithorhynchidae.